This 88-nucleotide transfer RNA is filed under the name Pseudomonadota bacterium. RNAcentral describes it as "tRNA-Ser". It matches the Rfam family "tRNA". From Rfam's summary of the family: Transfer RNA (tRNA) molecules are approximately 80 nucleotides in length. Their secondary structure includes four short double-helical elements and three loops (D, anti-codon, and T loops). Further hydrogen bonds mediate the characteristic L-shaped molecular structure. tRNAs have two regions of fundamental functional importance: the anti-codon, which is responsible for specific mRNA codon recognition, and the 3' end, to which the tRNAs corresponding amino acid is attached (by aminoacyl-tRNA synthetases). tRNAs cope with the degeneracy of the genetic code in two manners: having more than one tRNA (with a specific anti-codon) for a particular amino acid; and 'wobble' base-pairing, i.e. permitting non-standard base-pairing at the 3rd anti-codon position. RNAcentral also lists the same sequence under 1 other name. Lineage: Bacteria; Pseudomonadati; Pseudomonadota. The record is from RNAcentral.
GGAGAGGUGGCAGAGUGGUCUAAUGUACCUGACUCGAAAUCAGGCGUGCGGUAACGCACCGAGGGUUCGAAUCCCUCCCUCUCCUCCA